Molecule: ribosomal RNA, 160 nt
Filed under: uncultured bacterium
Lineage: Bacteria
Description: partial 16S rRNA
Rfam family: Bacterial small subunit ribosomal RNA
Source: RNAcentral
UGGGGAAUAUUGGACAAUGGGCGAAAGCCUGAUCCAGCGACGCCGCGUGGGUGAAGAAGGCCUGCGGGUUGUAAAGCCCUUUCGGUGGGGAAGAAAAGCUUCGACCUAAUACGUCGAGGUCUUGACGUAACCCACAGAAGAAGCACCGGCUAACUCUGUG